UAGGGAAUCUUCGGCAAUGGACGGAAGUCUGACCGAGCAACGCCGCGUGAGUGAAGAAGGUUUUCGGAUCGUAAAGCUCUGUUGUUAGAGAAGAACGUUGGUAGGAGUAGAAAAUCUACCAAGUGACGGUAACUAACCAGAAAGGGACGGCUAACUACGUGCCAGCAGCCGCGGUAAUACGUAGGUCCCGAGCGUUGUCCGGAUUUAUUGGGCGUAAAGCGAGCGCAGGCGGUUCUUUAAGUCUGAAGUUAAAGGCAGUGGCUUAACCAUUGUACGCUUUGGAAACUGGAGGACUUGAGUGCAGAAGGGGAGAGUGGAAUUCCAUGUGUAGCGGUGAAAUGCGUAGAUAUAUGGAGGAACACCGGUGGCGAAAGCGGCUCUCUGGUCUGUACCUGACGCUGAGGCUCGAAAGCGUGGGGAGCAAACAGG
RNAcentral lists this ribosomal RNA (429 nucleotides) under Bacillota bacterium. Its description in RNAcentral is "Firmicutes bacterium partial 16S ribosomal RNA". It matches the Rfam family "Bacterial small subunit ribosomal RNA", at positions 355 to 776 of the family's 1533-position model. Lineage: Bacteria; Bacillati; Bacillota. The record is from RNAcentral.